CCUACGGGCGGCUGCAGUAGGGAAUAUUGGUCAAUGGGGGAAACCCUGAAGCAGCAACGCCGCGUGGAGGAUGAAGGUUUUCGGAUUGUAAACUCCUUUUGUUAGAGAAGAAAAUGACGGUAUCUAACGAAUAAGCACCGGCUAACUCCGUGCCAGCAGCCGCGGUAAUACGGAGGGUGCAAGCGUUACUCGGAAUCACUGGGGGUAAAGAGCGCGUAGGCGGGAUAGCAAGUCAGAUGUGAAAUCCUAUGGGUUAACCAUAGAACUGCCGUUGAAACUGUUAUUCUAGAGUAUGGGAGAGGUAGGUGGAAUUCUUGGUGUAGGGGUAAAAUCCGUAGAGAUCAAGAGGAAUACUCAUUGCGAAGGCGACCUGCUAGAACAUAACUGACGCUGAUGCGCGAAAGCGUGGGGAGCAAACAGGAUUAGAUACCCGUGUAGUC
Molecule: ribosomal RNA, 440 nt
Filed under: uncultured bacterium
Lineage: Bacteria
Description: partial 16S ribosomal RNA
Rfam family: Bacterial small subunit ribosomal RNA
Source: RNAcentral